CGUUACCCCACUGGAGAGAGACCCACCACCGAGUUGGUCCACCGAAGGAGCAAGCCGCACAGCCCACGUGCCAACGUAGGCCCGGUGAAUCUCUCAGGUAAAGCGGACAUGGGGCAGAU
This 119-nucleotide non-coding RNA is filed under the name Betaproteobacteria bacterium MOLA814. RNAcentral's name for it is "Glycine riboswitch aptamer". It matches the Rfam family "Glycine riboswitch aptamer". Rfam says of the family: This family represents the bacterial glycine riboswitch. Lineage: Bacteria; Pseudomonadati; Pseudomonadota; Betaproteobacteria. The record is from Rfam by way of RNAcentral. RNAcentral also lists the same sequence under 1 other name.